Molecule: ribosomal RNA, 497 nt
Filed under: uncultured bacterium
Lineage: Bacteria
Description: partial 16S ribosomal RNA
Rfam family: Bacterial small subunit ribosomal RNA
Source: RNAcentral
GAUGAACGCUGGCGGCGUGCCUAAUACAUGCAAGUCGAGCGAACGGACGAGAAGCUUGCUUUUCUGAUGUUAGCGGCGGACGGGUGAGUAACACGUGGAUAACCUACCUAUAAGACUGGGAUAACUUCGGGAAACCGGAGCUAAUACCGGAUAAUAUUUUGAACCGCAUGGUUCAAAAGUGAAAGACGGUCUUGCUGUCACUUAUAGAUGGAUCCGCGCCGCAUUAGCUAGUUGGUAAGGUAACGGCUUACCAAGGCAACGAUGCAUAGCCGACCUGAGAGGGUGAUCGGCCACACUGGAACUGAGACACGGUCCAGACUCCUACGGGAGGCAGCAGUGGGGAAUCUUCCGCAAUGGGCGAAAGCCUGACGGAGCAACGCCGCGUGAGUGAUGAAGGUCUUCGGAUCGUAAAACUCUGUUAUUAGGGAAGAACAUAUGUGUAAGUAACUGUGCACAUCUUGACGGUACCUAAUCAGAGAGCCACGGCUAACUACGUG